AUGGGAGAUCAUCAGCUGAUGUACGCUGCUCCGGCCAUGCACAACGGCGGCGGCGGCGGUGGAGCUGUCUCACACGGCAUGUGGUGGAACACCAACACAACCGCGGUGCCUGCGGCGGCGUGCUCGACGGAGCUCGCAGGGUUCAACGCCUGGCCGGCCGCUCAGCUGGCUGCUGGCGGUGGCUACGACAUGGCGGUGGCGGACGGCGGCAAGGCCAAGAGCUGCACCACCACGGCCUCCUCCGAGUCGCCCGGGAACAACAGCUCCGUAACCUUCCAAGAAACAGCCAGCAUCAGCGACCCGGCAGCCGGCUUCACCGACUGGAAUACCCCUUACAUGAGCAACGGCGGCGCUGGUAACAUGCAUGGGUUCCUCCAAGUUGGCCACCAUGACAUGAGCUCAAGAACGGACCAGCAGAGCCACAUGAACGCGUCGAGCCUGAUGAAUGACCCAUCACCGAAUAACCUAGACCUAGCGCUGCAAGGCCACCACCAGCAGCAGCAUCAGCAGGCCGGCGAUCACCACCGCCAGCAGCAGCAGCUGUUGUCUAGCCUGGGGGCGCCCGAGCUGCUCCUGUCACCGAACUCGCCCUACGGGUUCCAGUCGUCGUCGCUGUUGAGGAGCCUCUUGGAGCCGACGGCCAAGCCGGCACCGGCGGCGGGGAUUCAGCAGUACCAGUACCAGCAGAUGGGCGGGCAGGCAGGGGUCAGGGAGCCGCUCCACUUCACCAACGACGCGGCGUUCUGGAACCCGUCUGCCGGGUUCGGCAUGGCGAUGCCAGCGCCGGCGGUGUCUGAGCAGACUAGCGCGCGUGCGGUGAAACGACCAUCACCGGCGCCCCGCGGGGCAAACCUUGCACUAAAGAGUGUGUUAGAAGGAGUGGGGGACUCUAGCUCGAUCGUUACCAAGAAGGCGAACAGCGAGCCAGCAUUCAAGAAGCCGAGAACGGAGACGCCGUCGUCAUUGCCGACCUUCAAGGUUAGGAAGGAGAAGCUAGGGGACAGGAUCACAGCGCUCCAACAGCUCGUCUCUCCUUUCGGAAAGACGGAUACGGCGUCGGUGCUCCACGAGACCAUCGAGUACAUCAAGUUCCUCCACGACCAAGCUGGUGUGCUUAGUGCUCCAUACUUGAAGAGGGGCCAUCAUCAGCAUCAAGUGCCACAGUACCUCAAGAGCUCGAGUGCUAGCCCUGACAAGUCGUGCAAGGAUGGCGGCAGCGAGGUGUCGCUCAAGGGCCGGGGGCUGUGCCUGGUGCCGAUAUCGAGCACGUUCGCGGUGGCCAGCGAUGGGCCCGUCGACUUCUGGACUCCCUUCGGCGGCCAGUUUAGGUAG
Molecule: ribosomal RNA, 1332 nt
Filed under: Triticum aestivum (bread wheat)
Lineage: Eukaryota; Viridiplantae; Streptophyta; Magnoliopsida; Poales; Poaceae
Description: partial small subunit ribosomal RNA
Source: RNAcentral